UCGGGGGACAAAGUGACAGGUGGUGCAUGGUUGUCGUCAGCUCGUGUCGUGAGAUGUUGGGUUAAGUCCCGCAACGAGCGCAACCCUUAAGCUUAGUUGCCAUCAUUAAGUUGGGCACUCUAAGUUGACUGCCGGUGACAAACCGGAGGAAGGUGGGGAUGACGUCAAAUCAUCAUGCCCCUUAUGAUUUGGGCUACACACGUGCUACAAUGGACAAUACAAAGGGCAGCGAAACCGCGAGGUCAAGCAAAUCCCAUAAAGUUGUUCUCAGUUCGGAUUGUAGUCUGCAACUCGACUACAUGAAGCUGGAAUCGCUAGUAAUCGUAGAUCAGCAUGCUACGGUGAAUACGUUCCCGGGUCUUGUACACACCGCCCGUCACACCACGAGAGUUUGUAACACCCGAAGCCGGUGGAGUAACCUUUUAGGAGCUAGCCGUCGAAGGUGGGACAAAUGAUUGGGGUGAAG
Molecule: ribosomal RNA, 466 nt
Filed under: Staphylococcus aureus
Lineage: Bacteria; Bacillati; Bacillota; Bacilli; Caryophanales; Staphylococcaceae
Description: bacterial SSU rRNA
Rfam family: Bacterial small subunit ribosomal RNA
Source: RNAcentral